UACAGAGGUCCCAAGCGUUGUUCGGAUUCAUUGGGCGUAAAGGGCGCGUAGGCGGCGGGGUAAGUCGGGUGUGAAAUCUCAGGGCUCAACCCUGAAACUGCACUUGAUACUGCUCUGCUUGAGGACUGGAGAGGAGACUGGAAUUCACGGUGUAGCAGUGAAAUGCGUAGAUAUCGUGAGGAAGACCAGUGGCGAAGGCGGGUCUCUGGACAGUUCCUGACGCUGAGGCGCGAAGGCCAGGGGAGCAAACGGG
This 253-nucleotide ribosomal RNA is filed under the name uncultured bacterium. RNAcentral's name for it is "partial 16S ribosomal RNA". It matches the Rfam family "Bacterial small subunit ribosomal RNA", at positions 524 to 776 of the family's 1533-position model. The record is from RNAcentral.